RNAcentral lists this ribosomal RNA (227 nucleotides) under uncultured bacterium. RNAcentral's name for it is "partial 16S ribosomal RNA". It matches the Rfam family "Bacterial small subunit ribosomal RNA", at positions 383 to 607 of the family's 1533-position model. The record is from RNAcentral.
CUGAACCAGCCAAGUAGCGUGCAGGAUGACGGCCCUAUGGGUUGUAAACUGCUUUUGUAUGGGGAUAAAGUCAAUCACGUGUGAUUGUUCGCAGGUACCAUACGAAUAAGGACCGGCUAAUUCCGUGCCAGCAGCCGCGGUAAUACGGAAGGUCCGGGCGUUAUCCGGAUUUAUUGGGUUUAAAGGGAGCGUAGGCUGGAGAUUAAGUCAGUUGUGAAAGUUUGCGG